UUUCCGUAGGUGAACCUGCGGAAGGAUCAUUACAGAGUUCAUGCCCUUCGGGGUAGACCUCCCACCCUUUGUAUACCGUGCCUUUGUUGCUUUGGCGGGCCGCCUUUUGGCCACCGGCUCCGGCUGGUGCGCGCCCGCCAGAGAACCCCAAACCCUGUCUUACAGUGUCGUCCGAGUACUAUAUAAUAGUUAAAACUUUCAACAACGGAUCUCUUGGUUCUG
Molecule: unclassified non-coding RNA, 222 nt
Filed under: plant metagenome
Description: partial contains small subunit ribosomal RNA, internal transcribed spacer 1, and 5.8S ribosomal RNA
Source: RNAcentral